UACGGAGGGUGCGAGCGUUAAUCGGAAUCACUGGGCGUAAAGCGCGCGUAGGCGGCUUUUCAAGUCAGGGGUGAAAUCUCACGGCCCAACCGUGGAACUGCCUUUGAAACUGUAGAGCUUGAGUGUCGGAGAGGGUGGCGGAAUUCCAGGUGUAGGAGUGAAAUCCGUAGAUAUCUGGAGGAACACCGGUGGCGAAGGCGGCCACCUGGACGACAACUGACGCUGAGGUGCGAAAGCGUGGGUAGCAAACAGG
RNAcentral lists this ribosomal RNA (253 nucleotides) under uncultured bacterium. Its description in RNAcentral is "partial 16S ribosomal RNA". It matches the Rfam family "Bacterial small subunit ribosomal RNA", at positions 524 to 776 of the family's 1533-position model. The record is from RNAcentral.